GAUGAACGCUAGCGGCAGGCCUAACACAUGCAAGUCGAGGGGCAUCGGGAUUGAAGCUUGCUUCAAUUGCCGGCGACCGGCGCACGGGUGCGUAACGCGUAUGUAACCUACCUAUAACAGGGGCAUAACACUGAGAAAUUGGUACUAAUUCCCCAUAAUAUUCGGAGAGGCAUCUCUCCGGGUUGAGAACUCCGGUGGUUAUAGAUGGACAUGCGUUGUAUUAGCUGGUUGGUGAGGUAACGGCUCACCAAGGCAACGAUACAUAGGGGGACUGAGAGGUUGAACGGCCACAUUGGGACUGAGACACGGCCCAG
This 314-nucleotide ribosomal RNA is filed under the name uncultured bacterium. RNAcentral describes it as "bacterial SSU rRNA". It matches the Rfam family "Bacterial small subunit ribosomal RNA", at positions 28 to 334 of the family's 1533-position model. The record is from RNAcentral.